UGGCGGCAGGCCUAACACAUGCAAGUCGAGCGGUAGAGAGAAGCUUGCUUCUCUUGAGAGCGGCGGACGGGUGAGUAAUGCCUAGGAAUCUGCCUGGUAGUGGGGGAUAACGUUCGGAAACGGACGCUAAUACCGCAUACGUCCUACGGGAGAAAGCAGGGGACCUUCGGGCCUUGCGCUAUCAGAUGAGCCUAGGUCGGAUUAGCUAGUUGGUGGGGUAAUGGCUCACCAAGGCGACGAUCCGUAACUGGUCUGAGAGGAUGAUCAGUCACACUGGAACUGAGACACGGUCCAGACUCCUACGGGAGGCAGCAGUGGGGAAUAUUGGACAAUGGGCGAAAGCCUGAUCCAGCCAUGCCGCGUGUGUGAAGAAGGUCUUCGGAUUGUAAAGCACUUUAAGUUGGGAGGAAGGGUUGUAGAUUAAUACUCUGCAAUUUUGACGUUACCGACAGAAUAAGCACCGGCUAACUCUGUGCCAGCAGCCGCGGUAAUACAGAGGGUGCAAGCGUUAAUCGGAAUUACUGGGCGUAAAGCGCGCGUAGGUGGUUAGUUAAGUUGGAUGUGAAAUCCCCGGGCUCAACCUGGGAACUGCAUUCAAAACUGACUGACUAGAGUAUGGUAGAGGGUGGUGGAAUUUCCUGUGUAGCGGUGAAAUGCGUAAAUAUAGGAGGGACACCAGUGGCGAAGGCGACCCCCUGGACUGAUACUGACCCUGAGGUGCGAAACGUGGGG
RNAcentral lists this ribosomal RNA (732 nucleotides) under bacterium PL5. RNAcentral's name for it is "bacterial SSU rRNA". It matches the Rfam family "Bacterial small subunit ribosomal RNA", at positions 37 to 765 of the family's 1533-position model. The record is from RNAcentral.